GUACGCUAUUCAGAGUUUGAUCCUGGCUCAGGACGAACGCUGGCGGCGUGCUUAACAUAUGCAAGUCGAACGAAGUUUUUCCUUCGGGGAAAACUUAGUGGCGGACUGGUGAGUAACACGUGAGUAACCAACCUCAUACAGGGGGAUAACUGGGAGAAAUCUCAGCUAAUACCGCAUGGAACAAGAAAGUCGCAUGAAGAGUUAAAGGAGAAAUCCGGUAUGAGACGGACUCGCGCAUCAUUAGCUAGUUGGUGAGAUAACGGCCCACCAAGGCUACGAUGAUUAGCCGGCCUGAGAGGGUGUACGGCCACAUUGGGACUGAGAUACGGCCCAG
Molecule: ribosomal RNA, 334 nt
Filed under: uncultured bacterium
Lineage: Bacteria
Description: bacterial SSU rRNA
Rfam family: Bacterial small subunit ribosomal RNA
Source: RNAcentral